UGAACCAGCGGAAGGAUCAUUACAGAGUUAUCUAACUCCCAACCCAU
RNAcentral lists this ribosomal RNA (47 nucleotides) under Diatrypella vulgaris. Its description in RNAcentral is "partial 18S ribosomal RNA". The record is from RNAcentral. Lineage: Eukaryota; Fungi; Ascomycota; Sordariomycetes; Xylariales; Diatrypaceae.